This 383-nucleotide ribosomal RNA is filed under the name uncultured eukaryote. Its description in RNAcentral is "partial 18S ribosomal RNA". It matches the Rfam family "Eukaryotic small subunit ribosomal RNA", at positions 592 to 976 of the family's 1831-position model. The record is from RNAcentral.
CAAUAGCGUAUAUUAAAGUUGUUGCAGUUAAAAAGCUCGUAGUUGGAUUUCUGGUGGGAGCGAUCGGUCUGGCGCUUAGCGCGAGUACAUGCAUCGUCUCCGGCCAUCCUUGGGGAGAGUCUGUCUGGCAUUAGGUUGUCGGGCAGAGGAUCCUCAUCGUUUACUGUGAAAAGAUUAGAGUGUUCAAAGCAGGCUUAUGCCGUUGAAUAUAUUAGCAUGGAAUAAUAAGAUAGGACUUUGGUACUAUUUUGUUGGUUUGCGCACCAAAGUAAUGAUUAAUAGGGACAGUUGGGGGUAUUCGUAUUCCGUUGUCAGAGGUGAAAUUCUUGGAUUUACGGAAGACGAACUACUGCGAAAGCAUUUACCAAGGAUGUUUUCAUUAA